Molecule: ribosomal RNA, 486 nt
Filed under: uncultured bacterium
Lineage: Bacteria
Description: partial 16S ribosomal RNA
Rfam family: Bacterial small subunit ribosomal RNA
Source: RNAcentral
AUUGAACGCUGGCGGCAUGCCUUACACAUGCAAGUCGAACGGCAGCACGGGUGCUUGCACCUGGUGGCGAGUGGCGAACGGGCGAGUAAUACAUCGGAACAUGUCCUGUAGUGGGGGAUAGCCCGGCGAAAGCCGGAUUAAUACCGCAUACGAUCCACGGAUGAAAGCGGGGGACCUUCGGGCCUCGCGCUAUAGGGUUGGCCGAUGGCUGAUUAGCUAGUUGGUGGGGUAAAGGCCUACCAAGGCGACGAUCAGUAGCUGGUCUGAGAGGACGACCAGCCACACUGGGACUGAGACACGGCCCAGACUCCUACGGGAGGCAGCAGUGGGGAAUUUUGGACAAUGGGCGAAAGCCUGAUCCAGCAAUGCCGCGUGUGUGAAGAAGGCCUUCGGGUUGUAAAGCACUUUUGUCCGGAAAGAAAUCCUUGACUCUAAUACAGUCGGGGGAUGACGGUACCGGAAGAAUAAGCACCGGCUAACUACGUG